RNAcentral lists this ribosomal RNA (497 nucleotides) under uncultured bacterium. RNAcentral's name for it is "partial 16S ribosomal RNA". It matches the Rfam family "Bacterial small subunit ribosomal RNA", at positions 28 to 507 of the family's 1533-position model. The record is from RNAcentral.
GAUGAACGCUGGCGGCGUGCCUAAUACAUGCAAGCCGAGCGAACAGACGAGGAGCUUGCUCCUCUGACGUUAGCGGCGGACGGGUGAGUAACACGUGGAUAACCUUCCUAUAAGACUGGGAUAACUUCGGGAAACCGGAGCUAAUACCGGAUAAUAUAUUGAACCGCAUGGUUCAAUAGUGAAAGACGGUUUUGCUGUCACUUAUAGAUGGAUCCGUGCCGCAUUAGCUAGUUGGUAAGGUAACGGCUUACCAAGGCAACGAUGCGUAGCCGACCUGAGAGGGUGAUCGGCCACACUGGAACUGAGACACGGUCCAGACUCCUACGGGAGGCAGCAGUAGGGAAUCUUCCGCAAUGGGCGAAAGCCUGACGGAGCAACGCCGCGUGAGUGAUGAAGGUCUUCGGAUCGUAAAACUCUGUUAUUAGGGAAGAACAAAUGUGUAAGUAACUAUGCACGUCUUGACGGUACCUAAUCAGAAAGCCACGGCUAACUACGUG